This 522-nucleotide ribosomal RNA is filed under the name uncultured bacterium. Its description in RNAcentral is "bacterial SSU rRNA". It matches the Rfam family "Bacterial small subunit ribosomal RNA", at positions 8 to 518 of the family's 1533-position model. The record is from RNAcentral.
AGAGUUGAUCAUGGCUCAGGAUGAACGCUGGCGGCAGGCUUAAUACAUGCAAGUCGAACGGUAAGGUCCGAAGUGGCAACACGGAGGAUACACGAGUGGCGCACGGGUGCGUAACGCGUAUGCAACCUGCCCCCGACCGGGACAAAACAGCUGGAAACGGCUGCUAAUAUCCCAUGGUCAUGCGGAAGGGCAUCCUUCUUCAUGUAAAGAUUCAUUGGUCGGGGAUGGGCAUGCGUAUUAUUAGGUAGUUGGCGGGGUAACGGCCCACCAAGCCGACGAUGAUUAGGGGUCCUGAGAGGGUUAACCCCCCACACUGGAACUGAGACACGGUCCAGACUCCUACGGGAGGCAGCAGUAGGGAAUAUUGGGCAAUGGGAGCAAUCCUGACCCAGCCAUGCCGCCGUGAAGGAAGACGGCCCUAUGGGUUGUAAACUUCUUUUGCCGCAGAGUAAACCCGGUCACGAGUGGUCGGUUGAGAGUAUGCGGCGAAUAAGUAUCGGCUAACUCCGUGCCAGCAGCGGC